Long non-coding RNA from Alosa alosa (allis shad), 1074 nucleotides. RefSeq lists it as uncharacterized. The record is from RefSeq and is a predicted model, not a curated record. The transcript is spliced from 4 exons. Lineage: Eukaryota; Metazoa; Chordata; Actinopteri; Clupeiformes; Clupeidae.
GUCAAGCCUUCCCGCAGGCUGCAGCCAGCGAGGUGUACUAGUAAACUCCGGUAAACUCAGAAAGUCUCACCUUGACUGUGCACAGAAGUAGGCUACUCUACAAUGACUCAAGGUUCAGAGACUGAUGGUGAGGGGUUUCAUACACUCUCUCCUCGUGGCGCCGAGAGUCUGUGAGCAAACCAAUACUACGUGUUGUGGUUCUUGUGUCUAUAUGUUGAGAACUAAAGUCUGAAAUGUCCAGAUUUACGGAAUCAGCCCAACUGCCUGUGACCGUGAAGGAGAUAAAAAAAGAAGAAUGUGAUUAUUUGCCACAAGACUAUCUGUUUGCAAGUGGGAAAGUGGGAGAAAAGCCUGGGCUGGAACAUGACUACAAGACUGAGACAGACACAACAUCAUCCUUGACCUGCAAAGAAAAACAUAUUCACCAAUGAAAAUUAAACAGGAGGAAGAAACUGACUUAAGAGAAUAUGGUUAUGAUGACUCUUCUCCUUCAAGAGACGUUCUAAGGAACCAAUCUAACAGAAGAGGGAGUGCUAAGGAAAAAUUAAACAAACAGAGAUGUCUCAGAAGCUCCCGGUGCAGGACGAUCUCAAGCCAGAAAUUAAAUCACCGAUCGGACACCGGAGAGAAACAGAAUGAAUGUUCCCACUGUUUUAAAACCUUUGCUGGUUCUUCCGCACUUGCAAAUCAUCAACAAAUACACACAGGAGAAAAGCUCCAUCGGUGCUCAGAGUGUGGAAGGACCUUCAGUCACAUAGGUAAUCUCAGGAGACAUCAAAUGAUUCACACAGGGGAAAAGCCCCAUCAUUGCACUACAUGUGGAAUGGAUUUUAGGAGUAGCUCAGAUCUCGCAGUCCAUCAGAUUACACAUACUGGAGAAAAGCCCCAUCACUGUUCCGAGUGUGGAAAGACCUUUAAUCUCAUGUUCAGUCUCAAGAGACACCAGAUGAUCCAUUCUGGGGAAAAACCUCAUAAGUGUACUAUGUGUGAGAAUAGUUUCAGGACAAAGGCAGAACUCGCCCUUCACCAGAUCACACAUACUGGAGAAAAACCGCACGUGUGCUAUCAGUGUGG